Molecule: long non-coding RNA, 545 nt
Organism: Homo sapiens (human)
Lineage: Eukaryota; Metazoa; Chordata; Mammalia; Primates; Hominidae
Gene: PACRG-AS3
Product: PACRG antisense RNA 3
Source: Ensembl
ACUGGUGUACUUGUUUGUGGAGCCUGCAGAACUGCCUUUUUCAAGAAUGUUCAUUUGAUGAGCUGACAUUAGGAGCUACAAAUGAAGUAACACGGACUCGUACUGGUAAGAAGAGACUACAGAUGAAAAGGAGUGGGAGAAUGAAGGAGGGAAUAAAAAGAAAGGUCUAAGCGAUAAAAGAAGUAGGAACUGGAGCAACCCUGUAGAAGAUCAGUGAAUCGGCUGAGAGUUGGUUUUGGAAAAGUGAAAAUAACCCAGAUGCAUAGACUGCGUGGAAUCGACAGCAAAUAGAGACUGCCCGGCAGUGCAAGGUGGGGGAAGCUGGACCACUUGAGGGCUGUUUCUAUCAGAUGCCAGGCUACUUUCCAAGCUACCAUAAGAUUUAGAAUAAAAGCAGGGCGAACCCUGUGGCAGCGGCUUGUGUGGCACAACAGAGUAGGGUGAGUCCUUGAGAGAGUAGGGGCGGUCCUGACCCCAGCGGGAGCAGGGGAUUCUGGGUAGUUUUCAAAAUGGAGGCUCGCCCUCUAGUGGUGCCUGGAGAGAAU